GGAAUCUUCCACAAUGGGCGAAAGCCUGAUGGAGCAACGCCGCGUGUGUGAUGAAGGGUUUCGGCUCGUAAAACACUGUUGUAAGAGAAGAAUGACAUUGAGAGUAACUGUUCAAUGUGUGACGGUAUCUUACCAGAAAGGAACGGCUAAAUACGUGCCAG
This 161-nucleotide ribosomal RNA is filed under the name uncultured bacterium. RNAcentral's name for it is "partial 16S ribosomal RNA". It matches the Rfam family "Bacterial small subunit ribosomal RNA", at positions 358 to 511 of the family's 1533-position model. The record is from RNAcentral.